RNAcentral lists this long non-coding RNA (376 nucleotides) under Lupinus mutabilis. RNAcentral's name for it is "partial ncRNA". Lineage: Eukaryota; Viridiplantae; Streptophyta; Magnoliopsida; Fabales; Fabaceae. The record is from RNAcentral.
AAUUGAAAUCAUCUACAAGCUUCGAUAAUGGAAAUAAUCCUAGUUAGUAUUAAACGUUGGACUUUAGUCUUUGCUAUCCUUUACAUUUGUCUAAUCCUGACAAACUUUGGAAAUGCUGAUGAGGAUGUGCAAGAGAUCCAGCCAGGUGGUGGGUUUGGUGGUUCUGGGUCUGGAGUUGGUGGUGGUAAUGGUGUUGGAGCGGGUGGUGAUGGUGGUGGUGGUGCAGCUGGAGGUGGUGGUGGUGCUGGGUUUGGUGAUCCUACUCAAAUUGUCUCCAAUGCUUUGCUAUGUUUCAAUGAUAAAUAUGUGAGUAUCAUCGCCACAAACACUUCACAAUAAUCAUAUAAUCACCAUGCAUCUAUUAUUUCCAUGUUAC